AAAGGGUGAUAGCCCCGUAAUCGACAUCUCAUCAUCAGUGAAAACGAGUAGGGCGGGACACGUGAUAUCCUGUCUGAAUAUGGGGGGACCAUCCUCCAAGGCUAAAUACUACUGACUGACCGAUAGUGAACCAGUACCGUGAGGGAAAGGCGAAAAGAACCCCUGUGAGGGGAGUGAAAUAGAACCUGAAACCGUGUACGUACAAGCAGUAGGAGCACCUUCGUGGUGUGACUGCGUACCUUUUGUAUAAUGGGUCAGCGACUUAAUUUUAGUAGCAAGGUUAACCGUUUAGGGGAGCCGUAGGGAAACCGAGUCUUAACUGGGCGUACAGUUGCUAGGAUUAGACCCGAAACCAGGUGAUCUAGCCAUGGGCAGGUUGAAGGUUGAGUAACAUCAACUGGAGGACCGAACCGACUAAUGUUGAAAAAUUAGCGGAUGACUUGUGGCUAGGGGUGAAAGGCCAAUCAAACCUGGAGAUAGCUGGUUCUCCCCGAAAGCUAUUUAGGUAGCGCCUCGGACGAAUACUACUGGGGGUAGAGCACUGUUAAGGCUAGGGGGUCAUCCCGACUUACCAACCCUUUGCAAACUCCGAAUACCAGUAAGUACUAUCCGGGAGACACACGGCGGGUGCUAACGUCCGUCGUGGAGAGGGAAACAACCCAGACCGCCAGCUAAGGUCCCAAAGUAUAGCUAAGUGGGAAACGAUGUGGGAAGGCUCAGACAGCCAGGAUGUUGGCUUAGAAGCAGCCAUCAUUUAAAGAAAGCGUAAUAGCUCACUGGUCGAGUCGGCCUGCGCGGAAGAUGUAACGGGGCUAAGCUAUACACCGAAGCUGCGGCUACGUACCUUAGGGUAUGUGGGGUAGGGGAGCGUUCUGUAAGCCGUUGAAGGUGGUCUGUAAGGGCUGCUGGAGGUAUCAGAAGUGCGAAUGCUGACAUGAGUAACGAUAAAGGGAGUGAAAAACUCCCUCGCCGGAAGACCAAGGGUUCCUGUCCAACGUUAAUCGGGGCAGGGUAAGUCGACUCCUAAGGCGAGGCCGAAAGGCGUAGUCGAUGGGAAACAGGUUAAUAUUCCUGUACUUCUUACAAUUGCGAUGGGGGGACGGAGAAGGCUAGGUGGGCCUGGCGACGGUUGUCCAGGUUCAAGUACGUAGGCGGGUGGUUUAGGUAAAUCCGGACCGCUACUA
This 1184-nucleotide ribosomal RNA is filed under the name Vibrio crassostreae. RNAcentral's name for it is "bacterial LSU rRNA". It matches the Rfam family "Bacterial large subunit ribosomal RNA", at positions 359 to 1554 of the family's 2925-position model. The record is from RNAcentral. Lineage: Bacteria; Pseudomonadati; Pseudomonadota; Gammaproteobacteria; Vibrionales; Vibrionaceae.